ACACUAUGAGGAAAGUAAAAAAUGUGAAUCUGAAUUGAGAUUUUACUGUCAGGAUCCAGAGAUCUGCCACCUGAUCUCCAGCAGAGAGCGCUGUGGGCCUCCUGAACUGAUUCCUCUACACACCUGGAGAUCAUCAGCUAAUCAGAGGUCCACACUACUUAAGCAGCUGCCAGACCUUCCUUCGACGCCGGAGUGUUGACCUAGUUUGGAAAACCCUGAAGCUCUGGAUGAGCUCCACGUAGAAACCUGCCUGCCUGCUCAUGAAAGCCAAACCUGAAGAUCUCAGUUUGGAUUCCUUCUUCAGCUCUUGGAUAGAGCAAGGAACAAACCCAAGCCAGAAAACCUUCUAGCUCGGAACUAGACGCUGCUGCUGCUUAAACUCUCUGCCACAUCAUUGACUCUGGACCUACGGUAUCUCACCUCACGGCUCUGUUACAAUCUCCUCAAGAAACUCUGAGACCAGUCCCGGACCAGUACCAGAACCAGAUCCAGUAUUAUAUCAUUGUACAUCUUUCAAUAAACCUUGUUAAACUUUC
This is a long non-coding RNA of Cyprinodon tularosa, 536 nucleotides long. RefSeq lists it as uncharacterized. Lineage: Eukaryota; Metazoa; Chordata; Actinopteri; Cyprinodontiformes; Cyprinodontidae. The transcript has 3 exons. The record is from RefSeq and is a predicted model, not a curated record.